This 799-nucleotide long non-coding RNA is filed under the name Chloebia gouldiae (Gouldian finch). RNAcentral describes it as "Erythrura gouldiae (Gouldian finch) lncRNA (ENSEGOG00005006165.1)". Lineage: Eukaryota; Metazoa; Chordata; Aves; Passeriformes; Passeridae. The record is from RNAcentral.
CACCUACCUGCAGGGAAACAUGAGAAAUGUUUCCCACAGGAAAUUAAAAUUCAUAAGUCAUGCAUACCCACCUAAGCCCAUGCCAGGAAGGAGAAAUAAAAGACUGGAGAAGGGGAAGGAAGCAGGGAUGGGAAGCAGCUGUAGCAGGAGCAGUUUUCAAUAACCAAUGGCUUGGACUUAGAUUUCCAAGCCUCAGGACAUUAUCUGAAGAGGGGGAAACCAAGCCUUGAAUGGAGAAGCCCUAUCAGGAUGAGUGGUCACUCCAUGGGAUGGGUACAUCAGGUCUGCACCUCUUUCAUCCAUCUUUCUGGAGGCAGCCCUGGACUAGGAGAUGGAUCUCUUCCCUGGGUGGCCCAGUUCUCAGAGAAGAGCCACACUGCUGUGGAGAAGAAAAGGAGAGGUACUAACAUCACUGUUGUAAAGAAGAGAUAAAAAUACAAUUGCUUUGGGAUUUUUUAUUUUUCUAACUGUCUGGUUAUUUAAUUAAUCUCCUGUUCACUUUCUGGUUUUUCCAUGUUUUUUUUUUUCCUCUGUGUUUGUUUGAGGGUAUUUUUCCCCUCACAGACUUCCUCAUGCUUCCAAACACCUGUUCCCUUGGGCCUCACCUAGAGGGAAGGGACUUACAUGCUCCUUUGUUUUGUUUAUAGCAGUGUUCAUAGCUGCACUUCACCAAAGCAGGGGCAAAAGCUCUCCCCAAAUCACAGCAACUGCUAAGCCUCCAGAGGAAGCAGCAUUUCUGCUCAUCUUGACACAGCCAAUUUAAUCAGACGUCUCACAGAAAAAUAUUUUUUUUUUCCCU